RNAcentral lists this ribosomal RNA (600 nucleotides) under Triticum aestivum (bread wheat). RNAcentral describes it as "partial small subunit ribosomal RNA". Lineage: Eukaryota; Viridiplantae; Streptophyta; Magnoliopsida; Poales; Poaceae. The record is from RNAcentral.
AUGGCCUCGGCGCUCUCCUCCCUCCGCUACGGCGACAGCCUCUCGGUGGUGGCCAUCUCGGGCGCCACGGCGGUGCUCUGCGAGGCCAUCUCCUGGCUCCUCAUCUACCGCACCGCCACCUACAACUCCCUCCGCGCCUCCAUCGAGCGCCACUCCCGCAAGCUCGACUCCAUGAAGUCCGUCUCCUCGGGCACCGGCGGCGCGGCCCCCUCCUCCCAGCCGGCCUCCUCGCGCGCCAAGAAGAUGGACCGCGUCGAGUCCAGCCUCAAGGACGCCUCGCGGGAGCUCUCCCUCGCCAAGCUCAAGUCCGGCGCCGUCGUCGCCGCCGUGCUCUUCGUCGUCUUCGGCCUCCUCAACUCGCUCUUCGAGGGCCGCGCCGUCGCCAAGCUGCCCUUCGCGCCCGUCCCGCUCGUGCAGCGCAUGAGCCACCGCGGCCUCCCCGGGAACGACCCCACCGACUGCGCCAUGGUCUUCCUCUACUUCCUCUGCUCCAUGAGCAUACGGACCAACCUCCAGAAGCUCCUCGGCUUCACGCCGCCCCGCGCCGCCGCCGGGGCCGGCGGUGGCCUCUUCGCCAUGCCCGAUCCCAAAACCAAUUGA